GGCUUGUUGAUUAUAAUUUCAGGUCUUACCUGCCCACUGAGGAGAUUAAAUGGCCGCGGUAUAUUGACCGUGCAAAGGUAGCAUAAUCACUAGUUUUUUAAUUGGAAGCUUGCAUGAAAGGUUUGAUGAAAAAAUUUCUGUCUCUAAAAAGAUUUAUUAGAAUUUUAUUUUUAAGUUAAAAAGCUUAAAUUUGUGUAGAAGACGAGAAGACCCUAUAGAGUUUUAUAUAAAUAAUAGUGUUGGGGAUUUGAGGAAUUAAUAUUUCAAGAUUUUAUUUGUAUUUUGCUGGGGUGGUAGAAAAAUUAGACAAACUUUUUUUUAUUGGAAUAUUUAUUUAUAGAUUUAUGAUCCUAUGUUUUAGAUUAUAAGAUUAAAUUACCUUAGGGAUAACAGCGUUAUUUUUUUUAGAGUUCUUAUCAAAAAGGAAGAUUGCGACCUCGAUGUUGGAUUAAAAUUUAUUACUGGUGAAGAGGCUAGUAGAGUUAGGUCUGUUCGACCUUUAAAAUUUUACAUGAUCUGAGUUUAGACCGGCGUGAG
Molecule: ribosomal RNA, 537 nt
Filed under: Trigonopterus sp. 83 AR-2022a
Lineage: Eukaryota; Metazoa; Arthropoda; Insecta; Coleoptera; Curculionidae
Description: partial large subunit ribosomal RNA
Rfam family: Bacterial large subunit ribosomal RNA
Source: RNAcentral